UGGGGAAUUUUGGACAAUGGGGGAAACCCUGAUCCAGCCAUCCCGCGUGUGCGAUGAAGGCCUUCGGGUUGUAAAGCACUUUUUGCAGGAAAGAAACGUCAUGGGUUAAUACCCCGUGAAACUGACGGUACCUGCAGAAUAAGCACCGGCUAACUACGUGCCAGCAGCCGCGGUAAUACGUAGGGUGCAAGCGUUAAUCGGAAUUACUGGGCGUAAAGCGUGCGCAGGCGGUUCGGAAAGAAGGAUGUGAAAUCCCAGAGCUCAACUUUGGAACUGCAUUUUUAACUACCGGGCUAGAGUGUGUCAGAGGGAGGUGGAAUUCCGCGUGUAGCAGUGAAAUGAGUAGAUAUGCGGAGGAACACCGAUGGCGAAGGCAGCCUCCUGGGAUAACACUGACGCUCAUGCACGAAAGCGUGGGGAGCAAACAGG
Molecule: ribosomal RNA, 429 nt
Filed under: Acidobacteriota bacterium
Lineage: Bacteria; Pseudomonadati; Acidobacteriota
Description: Acidobacteria bacterium partial 16S ribosomal RNA
Rfam family: Bacterial small subunit ribosomal RNA
Source: RNAcentral